Molecule: ribosomal RNA, 253 nt
Filed under: uncultured bacterium
Lineage: Bacteria
Description: partial 16S ribosomal RNA
Rfam family: Bacterial small subunit ribosomal RNA
Source: RNAcentral
UACGGAGGGUGCAAGCGUUAAUCGGAAUUACUGGGCGUAAAGCGUGCGCAGGCGGUUUGUUAAGUCCGUUGUGAAAGCCCCGAGCUCAACUUGGGAAUUGCAGUGGAUACUGGCAGGCUGGAGUACGGUAGAGGAAGGUGGAAUUCCCGGUGUAGCAGUGAAAUGCGUAGAUAUCGGGAGGAACACCAGUGGCGAAGGCGGCCUUCUGGACCAGUACUGACGCUCAGGAGCGAAAGCGUGGGGAGCGAACAGG